RNAcentral lists this ribosomal RNA (405 nucleotides) under uncultured bacterium. RNAcentral describes it as "partial 16S ribosomal RNA". It matches the Rfam family "Bacterial small subunit ribosomal RNA", at positions 30 to 526 of the family's 1533-position model. The record is from RNAcentral.
AUUGAACGCUAGCGGGAUGCUUUACACAUGCAAGUCGAACGAGUGGCGGACUGGUGAGUAAUAUAUCGGAACGUGCCCAGUAUCGGCGUAUAACUACUCGAAAGAUUGGCUAAUACCGCAUACUAUUGUAUCGGCCGAUAUCGGAUUAGCUAGUUGGUGGGGUAAAGGCUCACCAAGGCAACGAUCCGUAGCUGGUUUGAGAGGAGGACCAGCCACACUGGGACUGAGACACGGCCCAGACUCCUACGGGAGGCAGCAGUAGGGAAUUUUGGACAAUGGGGGAAACCCUGAUCGAGCCAUGCCGCGUGUAUGAGAAGGCCUUCGGGUUGUAAAGCACUUUUGGCAGAGAAGCGGUAUCUACAGAAUAAGCACCGGCUAACUACGUGCCAGCAGCCGCGGUAAUAC